RNAcentral lists this ribosomal RNA (253 nucleotides) under uncultured bacterium. Its description in RNAcentral is "partial 16S ribosomal RNA". It matches the Rfam family "Bacterial small subunit ribosomal RNA", at positions 524 to 776 of the family's 1533-position model. The record is from RNAcentral.
AACGGAGGGUGCAAGCGUUGUUCGGAAUUACUGGGCGUAAAGAGCGUGUAGGCGGCUGAUCAAGUCGGGGGUGAAAGCCCGGGGCUUACCCCCGGAAGUGCGCUCGAAACUGGUCAGCUAGAGUAUGGGAGAGGGAAGUGGAAUUCCUGGUGUAGCGGUGAAAUGCGUGGAUAUCAGGAGGAACACCGGCGGCGAAGGCGGCUUCCUGGACCAAUACUGACGCUGAGACGCGAAAGCGUGGGGAGCAAACAGG